Pecten maximus is the source of this 158-nucleotide long non-coding RNA. RefSeq lists it as uncharacterized. Lineage: Eukaryota; Metazoa; Mollusca; Bivalvia; Pectinida; Pectinidae. The transcript has 3 exons. The record is from RefSeq and is a predicted model, not a curated record.
GCUGAAGGACCAGAUGGCCCCACUCAAGGCCAAGCUACAGACCUACCACAGUCUACCUCCAGAUAUUUCUUUGACAAAAGUGAAGCUGGAAGAAUUGAAGAGAGAAGUGGAUAUGUUGGAAUCGGAAGUGUGUAAAAACAUUGAUUUGAUGCACAUAU